Molecule: transfer RNA, 69 nt
Filed under: Marmota monax (woodchuck)
Lineage: Eukaryota; Metazoa; Chordata; Mammalia; Rodentia; Sciuridae
Description: tRNA.Ala
Source: RNAcentral
GGAGCUGUAGCUCAGUGGCAGAGCGCUUGCCAAGCAUGCGUGAGGCAUUGGGUUCGAUCCUCAGCACCA